RNAcentral lists this ribosomal RNA (492 nucleotides) under uncultured bacterium. RNAcentral's name for it is "partial 16S ribosomal RNA". It matches the Rfam family "Bacterial small subunit ribosomal RNA", at positions 29 to 507 of the family's 1533-position model. The record is from RNAcentral.
AGUGAACGCUGGCGGUAGGCCUAACACAUGCAAGUCGAACGGCAGCACAGUAAGAGCUUGCUCUUACGGUUGGCGAGUGGCGGACGGGUGAUGAAUACAUCGGAAUCUACUUUUUCGUGGGGGAUAACGUAGGGAAACUUACGCUAAUACCGCAUACGACCUACGGGUGAAAGCAGGGGAGCUUCGGACCUUGCGCGAUUGAAUGAGCCGAUGUCGGAUUAGCUAGUUGGCGGGGUAAAGGCCCACCAAGGCGACGAUCCGUAGCUGGUCUGAGAGGAUGAUCAGCCACACUGGAACUGAGACACGGUCCAGACUCCUACGGGAGGCAGAAGUGGGGAAUAUUGGACAAUGGGCGCAAGCCUGAUCCAGCCAUACCGCGUGGGUGAAGAAGGCCUUCGGGUUGUAAAGCCCUUUUGUUGGGAAAGAAAAGCAGCAGGUUAAUACCACGCUGUUCUGACGGUACCCAAAGAAUAAGCACCGGCUAACUUCGUG